GCUGGGCAUGGUGGCACAUGCCUGUAAUUUCAGCCGCUGGGAAGGCUGAAGCAGGAGGAUUGCAAGUUCAAAGCCAGCCUCAGCAAAAUUGAGGCGCUAAGCAAUUCAGUGAGAUUCUGUCUCUA
This 125-nucleotide small RNA is filed under the name Marmota monax (woodchuck). Lineage: Eukaryota; Metazoa; Chordata; Mammalia; Rodentia; Sciuridae. The record is from RNAcentral.